RNAcentral lists this long non-coding RNA (653 nucleotides) under Homo sapiens (human). RNAcentral's name for it is "non-protein coding lnc-DMRTA2-5:1". The record is from RNAcentral. Lineage: Eukaryota; Metazoa; Chordata; Mammalia; Primates; Hominidae.
AUGGGCAAAGGAGAUCCUAAGAAGCCAAGAGGCAAAAUGUUAUCAUAUGCAUUUCUUGUGAAAACUUGUCAGAAGGAGCAUAAGAAGCUUCAGUCAACUUCUCAGAGUUUUCUAAGAAGUGCUCAGAAAAAAAGUGCUCAGUGAGGUGGAAGACCAUAUCUGCUAAACAGAAAGGAAAAUCUGAAGAUAUGGCAAAGGCAAACAAGGCCCGUUAUGAAAGAGAAAUGAAAAUCUAUAUCCCCCCUAAAGGGGAGACAAAAAAGAAGUUCAAGUCCAAUGCACCCAAGUGGCCUCCUGCAGCCUGUUUCGUGUUCUGUUCUGAGUGUUGCCCCAAAUCAAAGAACAUCUUGGCCUGUCCAUUGGUGAUGUUGCAAAGAAACUGGGAGACAUGUGGAAUAGCACUGCUGCAGAUGACAAGCAGCCUUAUGAAAAGACAGCUGUGAAGCUGAAGGAAAAAUACAAAAAGGAUCUUGCUGCAUAUUGAACUAAAGGAAAGCCUGAUGCAGCAAAAAAGGGAGUCAUCAAGGCUGAAAAAAGCAAGAAGAAGAAGGAAGGGGAGGAAGAUGAAGAGGAUCAGGAGGAGGAGGAAGAUGAAGGUGAAGAAAAUGAUGAUGAAUAAGUUGAUUCUAGUGCAGUUUUUUUUUCUUGUCUAA